RNAcentral lists this ribosomal RNA (550 nucleotides) under Globigerinella siphonifera. RNAcentral describes it as "bacterial SSU rRNA". It matches the Rfam family "Eukaryotic small subunit ribosomal RNA", at positions 1212 to 1509 of the family's 1831-position model. The record is from RNAcentral. Lineage: Eukaryota; Foraminifera; Rotaliida; Globigerinidae.
AUCUUACCGGGUCCGGACACACUGAGGAUUGACAGACAGUUGUCUUUCCCCUUCGGGGUGGGAUUACAAAAGAUAACAGAUCUUUCAUGAUCAUGUGAUGGGUGGUGCAUGGCCGUUCUUAGUUCGUGGAGUGAUCUGUCUGCUUAAUUGCGUUUCAAAUUUUAUAUUUGUUAACAUGCGAGUCUUCAAUGACGGCCGCUCCACCUUAUAGACAUUAUAUGAUAUGCACAUUUGUGUAUUUGAUUAUAACUUGUCUGGAGUCUGGCUCGAUUUUUUUGACUCAAUUGAACGCAACGGACGUGAUUGCAAGUCCUUGUUGAACAAAUUAUAUAUAUACUACUUCAUCAUUAGUAUAUAUAGUUCGCUUCUCAUGUCGUAGCAGUCAAACGGGCGGGCGUCUUAAUUGGCGCGGUCACGAGGCUUAAUAUGCUGCGGCAGGGAAAACUUGGGCGACCGCUGUAAUACUUCUCUCUUAAACCAGAGGAAGAUUGCGGCAAUAACAGGUCUGUGAUGCCCUCUGUCCCGGGCCGCACACGUGCUACAUUGAUUA